CCCCACUGUAUUAACUUUUAUUCCUCUAAGUACACAUGUGGAACUGCAUGAAAAUAAUUUUAAUUUUGAAAAUUUGAUCCCAAUGUCACACAUUGGCCCCAUUAUUUCUAGAAAGACCCGGUUGUGUCAGAGAACGAACAUGCCUAUCUUCAAUGAUUUUGAACUAGAGACCAACGUACCAAUAGUAACAGACUUAAUAAUUCCUAUUACACCUACUCACUAAAGAUCAUAUCAGUACUUCCACAGAUGGGGGUGCUCUAAUGUCUUUAUACAGAAUCGUUGGUGAUGUUUUUUUAAGUUCCCAUCCUGGUUGAACUAUUUCCCACUGUAAGAGCAGACCAGUGUUUUGGUUCCACUGUGAAUGAGGAGAAACUCUUGUCACACUGAGUGCAGUGAAACGUCUUCUUCCCUGUGUGGCUCUGCUGGUGGUAUUUAAAGAUCCCCCUUAAGCUAAAGCUCUGUCCACACUCAGAGCAGUGGUAAGGCCUCUCUAUGCUGUGUUUCCGCUGUUGGUAUGUCAAUUACCAUUUCCUACCGCAACAUUUUUCACAUUGAGGGAGUUCUUUUACACUGGCCCAUGAUGUCAUUGGUCGAAAGCGGGAAGGGAAGGGAAGUAGCCUAAUCUGCGUUGUUCGGUCAUGUUGUCAACAAGGCAGCAUGAUGCAUCUUCCAGAAAUAUACAUCUCUUUUCCAAAAAAUAAAUGGGUUAUCAUUAGGAUGGCAGAUAACGCAUUGUUAUAAAAAGCAAUCACUAUUUGCAAUGGGAAAACACAGAAUCCUACUCAUUACUACAUAUGCUUAAUUACGUCAAUUUUGUUUCGUGCCAACUUUGCCAUUGGACAGAGUGGGCACCUGGCUCACGCCCCGUCGCCUGUAUGUGUCAACUGAUGUCUUGUAAGAUCUCUAUAAAAAUAAAAUCAAAACAUUUGUCACAGAGCACUGAUAAACUAGAACAACAACAAAAAAUUAGGGGGGAUUUUCAUUAAAUUUAAUCCAUAGAAGGGUCCUUUGGAGGAAGCAUUGUUGACCUAUAUUUGAUAUUUGCAUCUUAAAGCAUAAUUGAGAAAACAUGAAUUGAAGUUGGAAUAUUUGUGACAAUUUGGCCUUACCUACAGUAGGCCUCCUAUAAGACUCCAUAAUGUUUCAUCUGUAGGUGCUACAAAACCAAAAUUGGUGUGAUAUGAAGCUUUACUGCUUGCU
RNAcentral lists this long non-coding RNA (1200 nucleotides) under Salmo salar (Atlantic salmon). RNAcentral's name for it is "lncRNA (ENSSSAG00000089508.1)". The record is from RNAcentral. Lineage: Eukaryota; Metazoa; Chordata; Actinopteri; Salmoniformes; Salmonidae.